AGUGAACGCUGGCGGUAGGCCUAACACAUGCAAGUCGAACGGCAGCACAGUAAGAGCUUGCUCUUACGGGUGGUGAGUGGCGGACGGGUGAGGAAUACAUCGGAAUCUACUUUUUCGUGGGGGACAACGUAGGGAAACUUACGCUAAUACCGCAUACGACCUACGGGUGAAAGCAGGGGAUCUUCGGACCUUGCGCGAUUGAAUGAGCCGAUGUCGGAUUAGCUAGUUGGCGGGGUAAAGGCCCACCAAGGCGACGAUCCGUAGCUGGUCUGAGAGGAUGAUCAGCCACACUGGAACUGAGACACGGUCCAGACUCCUACGGGAGGCAGCAGUGGGGAAUAUUGGACAAUGGGCGCAAGCCUGAUCCAGCCAUACCGCGUGGGUGAAGAAGGCCUUCGGGUUGUAAAGCCCUUUUGUUGGGAAAGAAAAGCAGCAGGUUAAUACCCCGCUGUUCUGACGGUACCCAAAGAAUAAGCACCGGCUAACUUCGUG
RNAcentral lists this ribosomal RNA (492 nucleotides) under uncultured bacterium. Its description in RNAcentral is "partial 16S ribosomal RNA". It matches the Rfam family "Bacterial small subunit ribosomal RNA", at positions 29 to 507 of the family's 1533-position model. The record is from RNAcentral.